Cyprinus carpio carpio is the source of this 2184-nucleotide long non-coding RNA. The record is from Ensembl. NCBI's taxonomy places the organism in Eukaryota, Metazoa, Chordata, Actinopteri, Cypriniformes, Cyprinidae.
GGGAUCUCAAGUAAAGCAGAUGCAGGACUUUCUAAAGAGCGCACAGAGUAUUAUAUGCAAUGAGGUGCGCAGAUUAACACCUUUACUGAAAAAUGCUGGACUGCUAGUUCAUCUGAAGGACAGUUACAGCCGUCACCUCUUUACCAACCUGGACCUGCUACUAAACAGAGAUCUGUCUGUAAAACAGAUCUUCUGCCUUAUUAUGUGGGAAAAAGAUGUUUUCUUCAGUCCAGACUCAAAACUGAGUGUGUACGACCCUUCGCUGCUGACAGGAAGGUUUGAGAGAGCAAAGCAGAAACUGCUUCAAGUACUUCAGGUCAUUGUGAAAAUAGCUUACGACAGUGUUUCCAAAGUGUACCUGGAAUGCUUGAUGAAGACAAAUGUCAGAAAGCUAGAGAUGCUUUGGGGAAAUGCUGAGGAAAAGAUAAAAGAGGAUGUUCAACAUUUUCACCAAAUAUUCUCUGACCUGAAUGGCAUUGCUGCCCAGGAGAGCUCCUUCAGAGAAUGAGUGUUUUGCUUUACAGUCAUGUAAAAACGAAGGACGUUACCAAUGCUUUGUUCAAAGACUUCCCUCAGGAGAGUGAGCAGUAUGUACCUGGUCUGCUGCGCUGGAAGGGUGUGUUAUCAGAGCAACAGGUGAAGGAAGUGCUGGAUGAGAUUCGGGAACCCUGCCAAAAUCCAGAUCCUACACAUGUCACCUGUUUUCUUCUGAAGGGACUUUUUUGUUGUAAAUAGCUUGAGGUCAGAGGUCAGUAAAAGUAAGCUAUGGAGAAUGUUCUCUGAACAUUGUGCUAUUUAUAUUUUCAAGCAUUCAGAUCUGAUGUUAAUUUUUAAAAUAUGUCCUAAAUCUUUUUUGUUCACACCUGUCUAAAACAAACUGUUGGUGUUCCGAACAAAGUGAAAAUACAGGUGAAUUGGAAACAAUUACUCUGUAAAGACUGACAUUUGAAAUAAUAGUUAGAACAAUUUUUUUUUUAAAUGGGACAGUUUAUUAAAAAUGUAUAUGCCAACUUACAUAAAAUGCAUUUAAAUAUUAGUUGUCACUCUGUAUCUUCCAAUAGUAUGUCUUAGUAAAAUGAUAUUUAAAUGCUUAGUUUUAUUAUCAAAGCUCUGUAGUUAUUUAUUGUUGGGCAAAACAUAUAAUGCAAUGCAAUACAAUAAUUGUUGAGAAAUUAACCUCUUAAGCACAGGGCUAUUUUGGGGAUUUCCGCCUGGCAUUUUUCCUACCCAAAUUCAAAAGCUUCCCAUACCCACAUGCAGAGGUGUACAUACAAAAGUUUGGUAUCAUUUUACAGGAAAUCCUUUGAAAUUACAUAAAACAGUGUUGAAACUGAUAAAAAUGGUUUAAUAUGUUGUCUGUGUUAUAAUAAAUGGGGAAAAAAAAAGGCGCUUUUUGAUUUUUUUUUUUAUAAACUGAAGUUUGAAAUUGUAUAGCUCAGGUUCUGAGAGGUCCAGCAUCCUGCAAACAAUUGUAUUUGUUUCCAGCACAUGUCAGCUAAUAGAGGAAAAAGGAAAUUUGUUUCUAUCAUAAUCUAUGCAAAAGUUAUUCUAUUCCAUCUAAAGGGAGGAAUAAUACCCUUUUUGUAUACAUUUUCCGACUACCCACAUUUGAAGACUCCAAAUACCCACAUAUAGUAGAAUAGAUGCAAUAUCUUUAUAUCCUUUUACAGAAAACCCUUUGAAGUGACAUAAAAAGCUGCUGUUUGUGACAAAUAUUAUUAUUUGUGUUGUUUUUCACAUGAUGAACCACCUCAAUACAAGGCGCUUUUUUUGUGUGUUCUAAACACUUUCUUUGAAAGUAGAUAACUCAGGCCCUGUGUGCUCUAGCAAACUGCAUUACUUUAUAAAAUAUAUCUGGUCUAUCACAAUCUAAAAUAGAAUCCACAUUCUCCAGCUUUAUAUCAUUUCAUUCAUGUGCAUUCUGUAUUGGUAUACUGAUUCAGAGCAUCUGACCUCAGCAUCCACUGUCUCACUUCAGCAUCUUCAGCACCCUCUUUGUCUGUUUGGUCGCGAGCUGCGGGCUAUCCGCUAACCGGAGCUGCUAUAUGGCCUUCAGAGCGUCAAAGAAACACAUAUAUGUUCAUCCACACAGCACUGUAAUAAUCCAUGUGUAUUUACUGUAUAUUUACUGAAAUGCAUCAUGUACUGUACUUUUCUGUCAAUAAACAGUUUAUCAGAUUGUCA